Molecule: ribosomal RNA, 1086 nt
Filed under: Citrobacter amalonaticus
Lineage: Bacteria; Pseudomonadati; Pseudomonadota; Gammaproteobacteria; Enterobacterales; Enterobacteriaceae
Description: bacterial SSU rRNA
Rfam family: Bacterial small subunit ribosomal RNA
Source: RNAcentral
AGAGUUUGAUCAUGGCUCAGAUUGAACGCUGGCGGCAGGCCUAACACAUGCAAGUCGAACGGUAACAGGAAGCAGCUUGCUGCUUCGCUGACGAGUGGCGGACGGGUGAGUAAUGUCUGGGAAACUGCCCGAUGGAGGGGGAUAACUACUGGAAACGGUAGCUAAUACCGCAUAAUGUCGCAAGACCAAAGAGGGGGACCUUCGGGCCUCUUGCCAUCGGAUGUGCCCAGAUGGGAUUAGCUUGUUGGUGAGGUAACGGCUCACCAAGGCGACGAUCCCUAGCUGGUCUGAGAGGAUGACCAGCCACACUGGAACUGAGACACGGUCCAGACUCCUACGGGAGGCAGCAGUGGGGAAUAUUGCACAAUGGGCGCAAGCCUGAUGCAGCCAUGCCGCGUGUAUGAAGAAGGCCUUCGGGUUGUAAAGUACUUUCAGCGGGGAGGAAGGUGUUGUGGUUAAUAACCACAGCAAUUGACGUUACCCGCAGAAGAAGCACCGGCUAACUCCGUGCCAGCAGCCGCGGUAAUACGGAGGGUGCAAGCGUUAAUCGGAAUUACUGGGCGUAAAGCGCACGCAGGCGGUCUGUCAAGUCGGAUGUGAAAUCCCCGGGCUCAACCUGGGAACUGCAUUCGAAACUGGCAGGCUUGAGUCUCGUAGAGGGGGGUAGAAUUCCAGGUGUAGCGGUGAAAUGCGUAGAGAUCUGGAGGAAUACCGGUGGCGAAGGCGGCCCCCUGGACGAAGACUGACGCUCAGGUGCGAAAGCGUGGGGAGCAAACAGGAUUAGAUACCCUGGUAGUCCACGCCGUAAACGAUGUCUAUUUGGAGGUUGUGCCCUUGAGGCGUGGCUUCCGGAGCUAACGCGUUAAAUAGACCGCCUGGGGAGUACGGCCGCAAGGUUAAAACUCAAAUGAAUUGACGGGGGCCCGCACAAGCGGUGGAGCAUGUGGUUUAAUUCGAUGCAACGCGAAGAACCUUACCUGGUCUUGAAUCUGGUCACGGAGCAUGCCCACUGAUGCCACAGCACAUUGAACUGCAAAACAUCGCUUUAGAGGCCGAUCGCCCGCUGGUGCACGGUGUGUCGUUAAC